Molecule: ribosomal RNA, 411 nt
Filed under: uncultured bacterium
Lineage: Bacteria
Description: partial 16S ribosomal RNA
Rfam family: Bacterial small subunit ribosomal RNA
Source: RNAcentral
AAUAUUGCGCAAUGGAGGGAACUCUGACGCAGCAACGCCGCAUGAGCGAAGAAGGCCUUCGGGUCGUAAAGCUCUGUCAUAAGGGAAGAAGUCUCUCGAAUGAGAGGUGACGGUACCUUAAGCGGAAGCCCCGGCUAACUACGUGCCAGCAGCCGCGGUAACACGUAGGGGGCAAGCGUUGUCCGGAAUUAUGGGGCGUAAAGGGCGUGUAGGCGGUUAAUUAAGUCAGGUGUGAAAACCCGGGGCUCAACCCCGUGAUUGCACCUGAAACUGGUUAACUUGAGGGCAAGAGAGGAAAGUGGAAUUCCUAGUGUAGCGGUGAAAUGCGUAGAUAUUAGGAGGAACACCAGUGGCGAAGGCGACUUUCUGGCUUGACCCUGACGCUGAGGCGCGAAAGCGUGGGGAGCAAAC